UACGUAGGGUGCGAGCGUUGUCCGGAAUUACUGGGCGUAAAGAGCUCGUAGGUGGUUUGUCACGUCGUCUGUGAAAUUCCGGGGCUUAACCUCGGGCGUGCAGGCGAUACGGGCAAUACUUGAGUGCUGUAGGGGAGACUGGAAUUCCUGGUGUAGCGGUGAAAUGCGUAGAUAUCGGGAGGAACACCAGUGGCGAAGGCGACUUCCUGGCACAAUACUGACGCUCAUGUGCGAAAGCUAGGGUAGCGAACGGGAUUAGAUACCCCGGUAGU
This 272-nucleotide ribosomal RNA is filed under the name uncultured prokaryote. RNAcentral describes it as "partial 16S ribosomal RNA". It matches the Rfam family "Bacterial small subunit ribosomal RNA", at positions 524 to 794 of the family's 1533-position model. The record is from RNAcentral.